UGUUGUUUGAGCUAGAUAAAAAGCCGCGCAAUUGAAAAAAGAAGUCAUACGACUUCAUUUAAUUGAAUUAAUUUAUUUGUUUAAGAUUCAAUCAGCAAUUAUAAAAAAAAAAUGCCCCGGCUAUAUCAGUUCUUAUUUUUACUCGCUCUGGUUGCGUUGGCUGCUGCCGGUUGCGAAACAUGGAUGGGAUCUUGUACUGCCAAUUCCGACUGUUGCGAUGGCUAUUGUGGGCCUCAAACUAAAUAUUGGCAAUUUCCCCA
This is a long non-coding RNA of Cotesia glomerata, 260 nucleotides long. RefSeq lists it as uncharacterized. The transcript is spliced from 3 exons. The record is from RefSeq and is a predicted model, not a curated record. Lineage: Eukaryota; Metazoa; Arthropoda; Insecta; Hymenoptera; Braconidae.